UAGGCUUACCCUGGCGUGACAUUUUGAUAACCGCGCAAAUCUAUCUCGGACAAGGUCACUUUUAUCAAUAUAUUUGCCUGUAAUUACCCCCCAGCCACUAAUGUGGCUUUCAUACAGAACUACACAUCCUAACGCAAGCUUUGACGUUAUCACUCAAGGCACAGGGUGGGAAAAACCUUCACAUUUCAAGUAUCAAGUAACCUAGCAAGUAGAUAUUAUAGCCAUGUUAGUUUCUCGUGUAAAUAAUUGAUAUUGUGUAUUUCUCAUGUGUAUUCUUGUUUAGCAUUUUUCAAAUUACCUAGCUAGCUACCUUAGCAUUUUUGAAUUACCCUGGCCUUUGUAGCUAACAAGCUAAACGUAGGUCUCUCCGUCGAUCAGAAGCAAGGAUGGUUCUGUGCUAUGUACCGGAUUGUAACCACUACUCCGAUAAGUACACGUGUAUUUGAUCAUUUUCUGACAUCUGUAAGUGAGAGGCAUUGCUGGAGCUGUGUGAUAAGAUGGGCGGAACGGAAACCCAGUGACAGCCUUCGGGUCUGCAGCUGCCAUUUUCCGUUGGGAAAGAGAAAUGGCCCUGUAUUUACCAGAAAAGGUAGCUCAUCCACCAUGGCAGAAGAGGAAGAUCCAGACUGUUGAUUAGGAAACAAGAACAAACAAUGAGGCAUGAGGAUUGGGUGUUGAGGGACCACUUGUCACGUUGUCCAAGUCCAACAGGAGUGCAUCCCUCAGACCAUCCAGUGCAUGGACAUCCUGUGCCAAUGUGAUCCAAGCGCAAGCGUCCAGUUGUAGAGACUACAGCUGUCCGUCAACCUCCCUCUCCUCAUGGUGUGCCAGUUGGGGUUGGUGCGCUGUCCAACUGUUGCCUGAUCCUGCUGCUCCACCGACAGCGCCAUGCCAGCCAUGAUGCCUGCAUGCCCCAUGUGCCCUUGUUUUUAACAACGUCCAGUACAGACAGGGACGACAGGGAGGGUAGCGGUUGCUCUGGCUCAGGUUGCCAUUCCACUAAACCUGCCGAGAGAGUUCCUUAGCCACUGAAGAUCCUCCUCUGUGGGCUGUCGGGACAGAGGGUUGUAGUCUUCGGCCGGGUACAGGUCCUCCACUGACUGCACCUGGUUGGGCACGGCUGGCUUCCUCCACUCGCAUUCCACAUCCGUACUGCUGACAUUGUGAACCGCCAAAAUAGGCUGCAUGGCUACACUUAUGAGCUCCUCGGAGACAUUCACAUGUGGUAGAGAGAAUCCCCUGGUCACCUAUAGAUGCCUGCCAAGAGGAAGGAUGUUAAGUGCCACAUGCAUUUCAAUGCAUGACUUUGAACACCUUGAAAUGCAUUUGUUGUAAGAAAUGUGCUAUAUAAAAAAAAGUUUGAUUUGAUUGAUGACAUUGUAGAAUAUUUAAUAAACUAUAAUUUGCA
This is a long non-coding RNA of Coregonus clupeaformis (lake whitefish), 1408 nucleotides long. RefSeq lists it as uncharacterized. The transcript has 3 exons. The record is from RefSeq and is a predicted model, not a curated record. NCBI's taxonomy places the organism in Eukaryota, Metazoa, Chordata, Actinopteri, Salmoniformes, Salmonidae.